ACCCACAGCCACAUAACUCUGCAGCCCAAGACUGGUUACUCACUGAGGCUAAGCAAGACUGAGCCUGGUCAGUGCCUGGAUGGGAGACCUCGAUAGAAAACUGGGUUGCUGUAGGAA
RNAcentral lists this ribosomal RNA (117 nucleotides) under Danio rerio (zebrafish). The record is from RNAcentral. Lineage: Eukaryota; Metazoa; Chordata; Actinopteri; Cypriniformes; Danionidae.